RNAcentral lists this ribosomal RNA (735 nucleotides) under uncultured archaeon. RNAcentral's name for it is "bacterial SSU rRNA". It matches the Rfam family "Archaeal small subunit ribosomal RNA", at positions 53 to 793 of the family's 1478-position model. The record is from RNAcentral.
GCGAGUCGAGAGGGUUCGGCCCUCGGCAGACUGCUCAGUAACACGUAGAUAACCUAACCUUAGGUGGAAGAUAACCUCGGGAAACUGAGAAUAAUAUUCCAUAGAUCUAGGAUGCUGGAAUGCAUCUAGAUUGAAAGUUCCGACGCCUAAGGAUGGGUCUGCGGACUAUCAGGUUGUAGUCAGGGUAAAGACCUGACUAGCCUACGACGGAUAUGGGUUGUGAGAGCAAUAGCCCAGAGACGAUAUCUGAGACACGAUAUCGGGCCCUACGGGGCGCAGCAGGCGCGAAAUCUUCACAAUGUGCGAAAGCACGAUGAGGGGAUCCCAAGUGCUGGCACGUAAGUGUCAGCUGUUUCUUAGUCUAAAAAACUGAGAGAGUAAGGGCUGGGUAAGACGGGUGCCAGCCGCCGCGGUAAUACCUGCAGCUCAAGUGGUGGCCGCUAUUAUUGGGCCUAAAACGUCCGUAGCCUGUUUAGUAAAUGCUUGGGUAAAUUGUGUAGCUUAACUAUACGAAUACCGGGUAGACUGCUAAACUUGGGACCGGGAGAGGCUAGAGGUACUCCUGGGGUAGAGGUGAAAUUCUGUAAUCCUAGGGGGACCACCAGUGGCGAAGGCGUCUAGCUAGAACGGGUCUGACGGUGAGGGACGAAGCCCUGGGGCGCAAACCGGAUUAGAUACCCGGGUAGUCCAGGGUGUAAACGCUGCUUGCUUGAUGUUAGUCGGGCUCCGAGCCCG